CUCGCCGCUGGGAACCUGCAGCUCACUCAGCAACCGCUGUCCCUGGGACUCUCUACAGUGGAGCGCCCAGGGACCCUUUCAAGGGCGCCCCUAACACUGAGCUGCAAGGCAGGGGGUUAAAGGGGAAGCAGAGGUGCAGCGUGCAGGGAAGAAGGAGUUAGGGCGGAACUCAGCUGUGAGAACACAGCAGGUGGAGGCCACGGGGCCAGCACACGAGAGGCGCUGCCCUUUCCCCAGGGAAGACAGGCGAGGGGACAAGACCAGCAAGGGUGAGUCCGCUCCCCACUGCAGGGUCCGUGGUGGACCCCAUUUCGUCUCAAGGCCUGCCUCUGGGAGCCAUUCCGGUCUCCAAGCCUCCGCUGGGAGCGAAUUCUAAGAAUUGGCCAAAGGAAAAGCCCUGCAAAGGCUCGUAGCGUCCCAAGUCCUCGAGAGGAAUGCCUCAUUUCAACAUCUCAGCAAGUCUGGGAGGCCAUCCUCACCAUUUCAUAGGUGGGGCCGGUAAGGCGCGGGAAGGUGAGGUCACUUGCUGAAGUCUCACAACGGCGCGGGAGAGCAGGGAGAGCAGGUUCCUUGAGCGAGGGAAUGUUCCAGGGGGGUGGGAGGGAAGGGACAGCUGCAAGGACUGCCCAGGUGGCCAGGGUACCCGCAGCGCGGAUAUGCCGAGAAGGCGCGCCCGCCAAGCCGCGGCGCAGCCCACGACGUCCAGCCUUACCACUCUGGAACCACCACCCCGGUCCCUCAGAGACAGAGGAAGGAUGCGAGGGGAAGUCUAGGCUCAUCUUGGCACUGCUUCCCCCAACUGCCAGGGAAGAGAGGCUUGAGCAGGCACCUGUCAUCUGUCUGCCAUAGCUCCAUCAAAGAGUAAUGUCUGGCCUGACCCCAAUGCCCAUCCAGGAUGACUGGAGGUGCUGCCCCAAGCACCAUCCUCUCCGAGUGCUCGGGGCUUCCCAAGAAUGUAACUAUGGUCGCAUAGCAAAAGUGAGCAAGGCUGCAGUGCAGCAGCCCAGAGAAAACACAACUGAACCUCAUCAAUCAAUUUCCAUCCCACCACCUUGACUUGACUGCAGGCUGCCUGGGAACCCCACACUUCUCCUCUCUUUCCAGAAGAAGCGGUCUCAGCGGAGUUGUUUCCUAACGUAGCACAUUUGUUGCAGACAGCUACAGAGAGCAAAAAUAUGCUAUGGGCCAUCCACUUAAAGGAAACAGGCACGGGUAUUGCUCAACCUGCCGAGUUCAGCCCUGGCUCAUGAACUCAGUUCCAUGCACUGCGUCUGCACUGGGGAUCCAUGUGCAGAGGGGCCAGAUCAAAACCCCGGACUCUGAAUACAUGGUCAGUGCACGAGAAAUGACUUCUCCCUACCAAUCGCCCUUCCUUACUCUUUCCUAUUCCCUGCUCCCCAAAUGCCUUCUAGUCUUGGCCGCAUUAAAUCUGUGAUUCUAGGCUGGGCGUGGUGGCUCACGCCUGCAAUCCCAGCACUUUGGGAGGCCGAGAUGGGCAGACCAGCUGAGGUCAGGAGUUUGAGACCAACCUGGCCAACAUGGUGAAACUCCGUCUCUACUAAAAAUACAAAAAUUAGCCAGGCAUGGUGGCAGGCAUCCAUAAUCCCAGCUUCUUGGGAGGCUGAGGCAGGAGAAUUGCUUGAACCUGGAAGACGGAGGUUGCAGUGAGCGAAGAUCGCACCACUGUACUCCAGCCUGGGCGACAAAGCGAGACUCUGUCUCAAAAAAUAAAAAUAAAUAAAUCUGCAAUUCUAACAUCCCCCACUCACUUCAUCCCACCCCAGCCCUCAUCCUCAGGGAAUCUUCUCUGUUCCUCUGAGAGAGUAAAAAUACUAAGGGUGGAGAGGAUUGGCCAGAGCCUCGGGGAAGGCCAGACCCCGUACUGACCCCCUCCUCAGGUGCUCCCUCAGCAACCUCUAACGUCAACAUCUCCUCUUCAUGGAACAGAUGAGACAACUGAGGCUCCGAGAGGUGAAGUCCUGUGUCUGGACUGGGCUGUGUGUUGGCGUGUGCCUUCCCACAAAUCCUGUGACCCACCUCACCACUCCAUGCUGCCCCAGAAACAUGGGGCAAUGAUUUGUACAGGAAUCCCAGCAAGCAGAGCUUCUUCUAGAACUAACCAGGAGCUCGGUGUCUUCCUCAGACACUCAUAGUCCUCUCGAGCAAUUCCCCAGGCUGGACUCUGACUCAAGCUUCAGACAUUAAGCACCUUUGAAAGGCUGGAAAGUCACAGUCUACUCAUAUGUCACCAGAAGGCCUGGGCAAAAAAAGGAGGUAGAGAAAUAACCCCGGGAAUGAAGCAGGGGUUCUGCCCUCCCAGGGCCUGAGAAUUAAAAACUGUUUCAAAUCCUUGUUUCGUUCCUCUAGGAAAAAUUAAAGAAUUAAGCGAGGGCCUGGAAAACAAGGCUAGCAGGAAGUCGGAGGAACUGACAAACAACUGGGAAGAUGAAGCUACCGAGGAUGGGCUGCAGGAGCCAAGAAGUUAGAAUCUGCAAGCCUGCGCCGAGUGCUCCAGUCAGCCAGCACUAGAUGAUUUACUGCUGAAUCCAGCCCCUCUAUGGACCAGCCUCCAAGUCACAUGGACCGUAAGGAAUGGUUUGAGACCAUCCCAAGAAAUAUUUGGGCAGCUCAAGAGAUGCAGAAACUGUUGCCCAUCCCCAUGUUUCAAGAACAAACAAGUAAAAGCUAAACCAGGGCCAAGCGCUCUGAGACUCGCUCCCCGCCACCCAGCCCUAGCCCAGUGUCCCCUGGACAGGGCUCAUGCCCUGCUGAGCCCCUGAUGCUGAAGUCAGGGGAGAAGGAGCCCGCCUCAUUGGCAGGGGUCAUUCCUCACUGUUCAGGCAGUAAACUAAGCCUUCUUGUCAUUUAUGGCUAUUUUGUCACCUUUACCAUUGUCAUCAGUGGCUGGCAAGAAUAUCCACGUCUCCAUGGAAAAGUGAAACUAGAAGGCAUCUAGGAAAAAAAAAAAAAAGACACAAGGAAGAAAGAAGUGGAGCCCCUCUUCUUCCACUUAGUGAUGUGAUGUCUGCAUAGGAGGGGAGGAACUGUACAGCCAUCCUGGAACCAUGAGGACACAGCCCAUGGACAGCAUGGAAAGAGAAACGAGCUUCAGAGUUGCCCUCCGUGUGGCUUUCUUGCUAUGUGAAAUGAUGCAUUUUCCUUCAUUGUUAAGCUAACUGCAUUGCAUUCUCCAUUACUUGCAGCCAAAAGCAUUCCCACUGAGACAUGCCUGUCCUUUUGUUUUUCCCUCCUAUGGUGUAGGGUUUUGCAUAACUAUUUACGUUCAGGCAAUAAACACAAAACCAUGAACAUUGACCUUCAUGUGGAAUUUAAGGAUUGCUAAACUUUUUUCUGUACCUAGAUUUCUCCUGUGUUGAUUUUGGAAUCCAACUCCUGGGGCAGGCGCUGAGGCACCCUGAGGAAAGGGCUGUGAUUGUCCAGUGCCAAAAGUGACCCACAAAGCAAAGUGUCUCCAAAGGACAGAGACCACAAUUGACUCAUUCUCAUUCAUACCCUUGAACCCAAGUACAGCAUCUGGAACACAGCAGGAGCUCAAUAAAUAAGUGUUGUAUGAAUGGAUGGAUAGAACAAGAAAAGUCCAGGCCCUUUCAUUCAUUGUAUUAUAAGCUUGCAAGCUUAAUUAGUACAAUUAAAAUACAUAAGCAAUAUCUUAGUUUCUUUAAUAAUUCCCCUUAAUUUACACGCUCUCUUUAUUUGAGUAAGUUCCCCAGGUGUUUGAAGAAUGUUAUUAGAAUUGGACAGUCCCUGUGUUGGAGACAGGGCCAUUGAAGCUGGUAUUUCUUCUCCCUUCCCUUCCUUCCUCCCUUCCUUUCUUUUUUUUUUUCUCCAAGAUGGGGUCUUGUUCUGUCCCCAGGGUGGAGUGCUGUUGCAUGAUCAUGGCUCACUGCAGCCUCAACCUCCUAGGCUUAAGCGAUCCUCCUGCCUCAGCCUCCUAAGUAGCUGGGACACACCAC
This 3974-nucleotide long non-coding RNA is filed under the name Homo sapiens (human). RNAcentral's name for it is "HSALNT0156096". Lineage: Eukaryota; Metazoa; Chordata; Mammalia; Primates; Hominidae. The record is from RNAcentral.